This 492-nucleotide ribosomal RNA is filed under the name uncultured bacterium. Its description in RNAcentral is "partial 16S ribosomal RNA". It matches the Rfam family "Bacterial small subunit ribosomal RNA", at positions 29 to 507 of the family's 1533-position model. The record is from RNAcentral.
AUUGAACGCUGGCGGCAUGCUUUACACAUGCAAGUCGAGCGGUAACAGGCCUUCGGGUGCUGACGAGUGGCGAACGGGUGAGUAAUGCAUCGGAACGUACCCAGAGGUGGGGGAUAACGCAGCGAAAGCUGUGCUAAUACCGCAUGUGAUCUGAGGAUGAAAGCGGGGGACCGAGCAGCAAUGUUUGGCCUCGCGCCUUUGGAGCGGCCGAUGUCAGAUUAGCUAGUUGGUGGGGUAAAGGCCUACCAAGGCGACGAUCCGUAGCUGGUCUGAGAGGACGACCAGCCACACUGGGACUGAGACACGGCCCAGACUCCUACGGGAGGCAGCAGUGGGGAAUUUUGGACAAUGGGCGCAAGCCUGAUCCAGCAAUGCCGCGUGCGGGAAGAAGGCCUUCGGGUUGUAAACCGCUUUUGGCAGGAACGAAACGGUGUCCGCUAAUACCGGGCGCUAAUGACGGUACCUGCAGAAUAAGCACCGGCUAACUACGUG